GUAGAUGCUCAUUCCAUUUUCUAUGUUUGCUUCGGCUUCAUAACCCUGGGAAUGACGCAGAGCCCUUAUCGGUGCCUAUCGUCCACCAUGACAUGAAGACUAUUUCAUGAAACGUUUCGGACAUUACGUUGAGUGAGGCACCACCCCUAGUCUUUAAGACCUGAUGUUUAUUGACGCUUGUCGACGUUCGGCAAGCGUUUUUUU
Molecule: small RNA, 204 nt
Filed under: Lonsdalea quercina
Lineage: Bacteria; Pseudomonadati; Pseudomonadota; Gammaproteobacteria; Enterobacterales; Pectobacteriaceae
Description: GlmZ RNA activator of glmS mRNA
Rfam family: GlmZ RNA activator of glmS mRNA
About the family: This RNA was discovered in E. coli during a large scale screen. The sraJ gene was expressed in early logarithmic phase, but its level decreased with cell growth. Specific cleavage products of this RNA were found.
Source: Rfam by way of RNAcentral